UCCGCAAUAGCUCAGUUGGUUAGAGCAUCUGACUGUUAAUCAGAGGGUCAUAAGUUCAAGUCUUAUUUGCGGAG
Molecule: transfer RNA, 74 nt
Filed under: Kapaibacterium sp. (SeqCode)
Lineage: Bacteria; Pseudomonadati; Bacteroidota; Eximiradiia; Eximiradiales; Kapaibacteriaceae (SeqCode)
Description: tRNA-Asn
Rfam family: tRNA
About the family: Transfer RNA (tRNA) molecules are approximately 80 nucleotides in length.
Source: RNAcentral